GGGAUAAACGCUGGCGGCGUGCAUGAGACAUGCAAGUCGAACGGACGAUCAGGGCUUGCUCUGAUCGUUAGUGGCGGACGGCUGAGUAACGCGUAGGUGACCUGCCCCGAAGUGGGGAAUAACUGCCCGAAAGGGUGGCUAAUACCGCAUGUGGUGGUGCCUUCACUGGCAUCAGUAAAGCCGCAAGGCGCUUCGGGAGGGGCCUGCGUCCGAUUAGCUCGUUGGUGGGGUAACGGCUCACCAAGGCGACGAUCGGUAGGUGGUCUGAGAGGACGAUCACCCAGACUGGGGACUGAGACACGGCCCAGACUCCUACGGGAGGCAGCAGUCGGGAAUUUUGCGCAAUGGACGAAAGUCUGACGCAGCAACGCCGCGUGAGGGAUGACGGCCUUCGGGUUGUAAACCUCUUUUGUCAGGGAAGAUUAUGACGGUACCUGGCGAAUAAGCCACGGCUAACUACGUGCCAGCAGCCGC
This 474-nucleotide ribosomal RNA is filed under the name uncultured bacterium. Its description in RNAcentral is "SSU rRNA". It matches the Rfam family "Bacterial small subunit ribosomal RNA", at positions 27 to 518 of the family's 1533-position model. The record is from RNAcentral.